AUUGAACGCUGGCGGCAGGCCUAACACAUGCAAGUCGAGCGGAUGAAGGGAGCUUGCUCCUGGAUUCAGCGGCGGACGGGUGAGUAAUGCCUAUGAAUAUGCCUGGUAGUGGGGGAUAACGUCCGGAAACGGGCGCUAAUACCGCAUACGUCCUGAGGGAGAAAGUGGGGGAUCUUCGGACCUCACGCUAUCAGAUGAGCCUAGGUCGGAUUAGCUAGUUGGUGGGGUAAAGGCCUACCAAGGCGACGAUCCGUAACUGGUCUGAGAGGAUGAUCAGUCACACUGGAACUGAGACACGGUCCAGACUCCUACGGGAGGCAGCAGUGGGGAAUAUUGGACAAUGGGCGAAAGCCUGAUCCAGCCAUGCCGCGUGUGUGAAGAAGGUCUUCGGAUUGUAAAGCACUUUAAGUUGGGAGGAAGGGCAGUAAGUUAAUACCUUGCUGUUUUGACGUUACCGGCAGAAUAAGCACCGGCUAACUUCGUG
RNAcentral lists this ribosomal RNA (484 nucleotides) under uncultured bacterium. RNAcentral's name for it is "partial 16S ribosomal RNA". It matches the Rfam family "Bacterial small subunit ribosomal RNA", at positions 30 to 507 of the family's 1533-position model. The record is from RNAcentral.